This 275-nucleotide long non-coding RNA is filed under the name Castor canadensis (American beaver). RNAcentral describes it as "lncRNA (ENSCCNG00000004751.1)". Lineage: Eukaryota; Metazoa; Chordata; Mammalia; Rodentia; Castoridae. The record is from RNAcentral.
CUAGAUCUCAAGGGCCAGUUUUUCCUAGAGCCAAGGCAUCCAUCCAAAGAAACAGCCACAGAUAAAGGAAGAUGCCCACUCAGGAACUGGAGAUUUCGCCGCCGAUCUAGAUCCUACCACAACAACUUGGAUGAAUUCCCACCUACCACAAGGACAGGACUAUGCAUUGGAAUUUCUAUUAUGGAUAUUUGUGAAGAGUAUCCAAAAGUAAGUGAGAAUGUCCAUGUGGAUGUCACCAAUGCACAGGAGGCAGUGGACUCCACAUCUUCAACCAG